RNAcentral lists this signal recognition particle RNA (298 nucleotides) under Cebus imitator (Panamanian white-faced capuchin). Its description in RNAcentral is "Metazoan signal recognition particle RNA (ENSCCAG00000009898.1)". It matches the Rfam family "Metazoan signal recognition particle RNA". Rfam says of the family: The signal recognition particle (SRP) is a universally conserved ribonucleoprotein. It is involved in the co-translational targeting of proteins to membranes. The eukaryotic SRP consists of a 300-nucleotide 7S RNA and six proteins: SRPs 72, 68, 54, 19, 14, and 9. Lineage: Eukaryota; Metazoa; Chordata; Mammalia; Primates; Cebidae. The record is from RNAcentral.
GCCGGGCGUGGUGGCGUGUGCCUGUCAUCCCAGCUACUCGGGGGGCUGAGGCUGGAGGAUCUUUUGCGCCCAGGAGGUCUGGGCUGUAGUGCGCUAUGCCAAUCGGGUGUCCGCACUAAGUUUGGCAUCAAUAUGGUGACCUCCCGGGAGCAGGGGACCACCAGUUUGCCUAAGGAGGGGUGACUAGCCCAGGUUGGAAACGGAGCAGGUCAAAACACCUGUGCUGAUCAGUAGUGGGAUCGCGCCUGUGAAUAUCCACUGCACUCCAGCCUGGGCAAUAUAGCGAGACCCUGUCUCA